Long non-coding RNA from Larimichthys crocea (large yellow croaker), 479 nucleotides. RefSeq lists it as uncharacterized. The record is from RefSeq and is a predicted model, not a curated record. NCBI's taxonomy places the organism in Eukaryota, Metazoa, Chordata, Actinopteri, Sciaenidae. The transcript has 3 exons.
AACGGGGGAUCCGUUAAACGGAAGAGGAGGGAACGAUAAAAAAAAAACCCAGCCUCAGCCAAUCAAAAACUGUUAGGAGACAGGCGCGAGACUCUGACACAGCGCAGCCAGGUAUCGUGCUACAGGUGGCUAACGGUCUUUGGAGUUACAUCAGACCAAGAGUGACUGUGACUAGUGACUAGCUGUUCAGAAUGUCAUUGUAAGAAGGUUGAAACCUAAACCUAAGUAACCUGAGCACGGUUUAGAUGAAGAGAUGUCUUCAAUCAGUUCAACCAAGCUGCAGCUCUUCCAGUCCCAAAGAAGCAGAUGACCUACACCCAGAAAGGCUUCAAGAAGAAGAGAUGUCUUCAGCCAGCUCAGCUGAUCAGCAGCUCGUCCUGCCCCAAAGCGGGUCAGAAGCAGAUGACGUACACCCAGAGGGUGAAGAGGAAGAGAUGUCUUCGCCACUUCAGUCGAUCAGCAGCUCGUCCAGCUCAAAG